AGGGGUGUGCAUGGUCGGAUAUUUUUACAAACCAAACCGUAUCUAAACCAAAACCACUUAAAUGGAUUCGGAUUGAUAACCAUAACCACAUUUUUCUACAAACUGGUUACAUAACUGAUUAUAAAUUUGGUUAUGGUUACCAAACCGGUUAUUUUUAUAAAACUGGUUUAAAUUUGGUUAUUUUCUUAAAUUUGGUUUAAAACCAGUUUUU
This 211-nucleotide long non-coding RNA is filed under the name Trifolium pratense (red clover). RNAcentral's name for it is "long non-coding RNA (TPRA_LNC003321)". Lineage: Eukaryota; Viridiplantae; Streptophyta; Magnoliopsida; Fabales; Fabaceae. The record is from RNAcentral.